UCAAACGGUGAAAAAGAUGUCGGUGAAAAUGUUUUCUGCAUUUAUUUUCAAACAUAUUUAAUGUAUUUGGAAGCAAAACAAUUUCAGCUUAGUGCCACUUUCGGUUUUGUUAUUUGUCCCCUGCAAUUGGCUGGUGACCAGUUCAUAAGAAGAUAGCUGGGAUGGGCCCCAGCAUGUCUGCGACCCUUGUGUGGAUAAGCGCUUCAGAAAAUCUUUGAAUAAAUGCUAUCCAUUAGUUUGUCCAUGCUGUGUGUUUGCAAGCAAAGUGAAAUUCCCUAAGGGAAAGCUAUUUGGUUGUUGAAAAAACAUCUUUUUUCUUUAAUGUUUAGUUUGAGGGUAAACUUCAAUCAGGAGUAGCAGUAAACAUUUGGGAAAGCUAUUUGGUUGUUGAAAAAACAUCUUUUUUCUUUAAUGUUUAGUUUGAGGGUAAACUUCAAUCAGGAGUAGCAGUAAACAUUUCAAAGCCCCUUCUUUGAGGAAUUGUGCACUAGCUGCCAAACUAGUUCUUGUAAAGUGAGUUGAAUUUCCUGCCACCAGACAUUUGCUCUCAAAUCAAAGCGAAAUUUCGGCCGAAAGACGACUCAUAUCUUGAAAAACUCAAGGCGCCACUGUAUGUUGCCAAACAUUUGCCAUGUGGUAACGUGUGUAGUGACUCAUUAGAUCUGAGCGAGAGAUGAAGAUGGACUUUGCAUACUCCACGGCGACUCCCUCAGUAUAUGACAGUGUCGCAGGGCUUUCAUGAGAGCCGUCGCUUGUUCCUCACAACGCAACGUCUCAGCAGACAACGCAGGCUUUGUCUGCAUGGAGAAAAAGAGGGCAGACUGGAAGGGAGCGGGAGAAAGAAGCCGCCCCCGUACUGUACAAAAGGCAAAAAUAAUGGUGGAAGACAGGAGCGCUGAAGCAGAGCAAGGCCAAGCGUUCCAGUGUAGGCGGCAGGCAUGGGAAGCCCACCAGAGGUCCGAAACAGUAAUCAGCCUUAUCAUGGUGAAAUAACACAGUGCAAAGUGGACGAGGGUGAACUUACUCCCUCUGACCUUCAAAGUGGUCACACUCGGUUGCCAGUAAACGUCUCACCUUCCAGUCUGCAUUUCACAAGAUGGGAGGAUUUUCAUCCAAUUAAGUGUGUUACUUUAUCCACCUGAAAAUGGAGGUACGCUGAAUAAAAUAGUCAAAACAGUCAUUCCUAACUGGUAAAUCCCAUAUUUUGUCCACAACUAGCUGGUAUCACUUAGAUAGCACAUACAAGAACAAAAAGAAAAAAGAACCUAAGCCCUGUCUGAAGCCGGCUGUGUGUUAAUGUGUGCAGUUUCAUGUGCACAACGGAAGGAACUAAAGCAGCAGAGCAGAAGGCGUGGCAUGAUGAACACAGAGGUCGUGAAGUGUGUGUCCUUAUGGUACUGUACAAAUACAUAGCUUUGAGUUACUGUUAAACAUGGUACAGUUGAUCUUGAGCGACAAUGACACAAUACUGCACGUUCACUGAACACAGGUGGUUAUGUAACUGUAAAUAAACAGUAACAUACCAUACAUAAUAUAACUUCAAAAGUGGUUCUGCUCAAAUAUCAAGUGUACUUUUUCUCCCAUUGGUUCAUUAUCAACAAAUUUGCAGAUAAACUGGCCUCAACAUUACUAACUUCUGCACCACACAAUACAAAAUUGAUCAGUUUUGAUUACUAGAAUGAACAAUACAGUAUGUCCAUAAUUGGGGUUGUAGCGAUGGUUCUGCAAUCAUCAUAAGUGUACUAUAAAUAGCAAACGCAAAUAUUCAUACUGAUAAUUUAUAGAAAAGCAGUCAAUGUAAAAAAAACGUUUUGUUUUGCUUUUUUGCUUAUGCCUAUAUUCAAAGUUGUGAUUUAUAGAUAGACAAGGUCAAUGUUGUGAUAGUUUUACACUGGUAAAAUAAAAUCAUUUCAUUUUGAAACACAGCAGAGUAAUGAGUCCACGGUCAUGUGUGGGAUGAACAUCUCAUUUGCAUCGCCCACUGUGGAAUUUCUUAUUCACAGCAUUGAUUCACUUUUGAACAAAGACCGAUGAUUAAAAUA
Long non-coding RNA from Syngnathoides biaculeatus (alligator pipefish), 2042 nucleotides. RefSeq lists it as uncharacterized. The record is from RefSeq and is a predicted model, not a curated record. Lineage: Eukaryota; Metazoa; Chordata; Actinopteri; Syngnathiformes; Syngnathidae. The transcript has 3 exons.